Molecule: ribosomal RNA, 259 nt
Filed under: uncultured prokaryote
Description: partial 16S ribosomal RNA
Rfam family: Bacterial small subunit ribosomal RNA
Source: RNAcentral
UACGGAGGAUGCAAGCGUUAUCCGGAUUUAUUGGGUUUAAAGGGUGCGCAGGUUGUUUGAUAAGUCAGUGGUGAAAGUCUGUCGCUUAACGGUAGGAUUGCCAUUGAUACUGUUGGACUUGAAUAUGGAUGAGGUAGGCGGAAUGUGUAGUGUAGCGGUGAAAUGCAUAGAUAUCGUGAGGAACAUCGGUGGCGAAGGCGGGUAACUGGACUGCAACUGACGCUGAGGCGCGAAAGUGUGGGGAGCAAACAGGAUUAGA